RNAcentral lists this ribosomal RNA (116 nucleotides) under Escherichia coli. Lineage: Bacteria; Pseudomonadati; Pseudomonadota; Gammaproteobacteria; Enterobacterales; Enterobacteriaceae. The record is from RNAcentral.
ANUGGCGGCCUUAGCGCGGUGGUCCCACCUGACCCCAUGCCGAACUCAGAAGUGAAACGCCGUAGCGCCGAUGGUAGUGUGGGGUCUCCCCAUGCGAGAGUAGGGAACUGCCAGGC